UGAAUGACUGCCUCCAAGGCAGAGGAACAACACUAUAGGAACACGACGAGAACAAGGAAGUCAUUCCAGACUACCGCAAACAGCAACAGGACUGACCAUAUAAGCAUAUGCAUGUAAAACAUGCACGAUUCUUCAAAAUAGGAACAAAGAGACUGAAAACUACUGACCGUCAUAGUAGUUGCUUCCAGUGUCACUCAGAUCUACCCCUUGUCUACUGUAGCGCACGCCGAGCUCAGCAGGGAAGGAGCACUCAAUUCUGGCGCCUGGUUUUGACAAAGCUCAAAGCAGCAGCAGCAAGAAAAGUCCUCUCAGCAUGAAGAAAAAACAGCCUGGUAAUUUAACUCAAACAGCAAGAAAACUGCUGAGCACAUGAACUGCAGUUUUCAAGGGCGUGUAACCCAGCCAACUGUAAGCAGAUUUUCAAUACUAACCAGGGAGAAUCCAGUGGAAAUGGAGCGUCUCCUCCCCCACACAUCCAUGGUGUAGCUCCAUAGCUCUGGUCUCCAGCAGCUGCAGAUGCCUGGGUUCCCUGAAGAGUCUGACCCACCCCAUGGGAGCAGCAGCCCCUGAAGCAGGCAAGAAUCCCACCUACUCAGCACCUUCUCUCUCCUCCCUCUCCCCUCCCCAUCUCUACUGAUGACUCUGGAUGCACAAAGGGGAAACCCUACCCAUUGCUGUCCCUAGCUGGCCCAGGUGUGGAGGGAGCCCCAGAACUGCUCCAUCCAGGGCUAUGGGGCACAGCUGUAGAGUUGAAUGUAGCCAGAGACAGCUGGUGGCUUCACCCCCACCUCCUGCUGCUGCUGUCCCUGUUGGAGCCCAAUUCCUCUCACAGUUCUCCCUGUAGGGUCUGGCUAGAGCAGGGAAGCAGUGGCCAGGACAUCAGCAGUGAUGCAAGUCUUCUCUUCCUAUGCCAAAAGCUUAAGACACAGAGGAAGGGAGGGGGAAAUUCUUACCUGAUUUCAAAAAGUCCCCAGCUUCUGCCAUCACAGCAUGGUGUGCCUGCCCAUGAGGUGGGGUAAGGGGAGCACAGGGAAAGGAGCAGGGGGCGCAGCCAACCUGGAUCAAAACCCUGAAUCUGCCUAGGAGUACUGGUAAAAUGUUAUAUAAUUAUUCCUCUGCCAAAUUUCCAAGUCACUGUUUCAAAGUAUAACAUUGCUAGACCUUUAAGAGAGCAACAUAUACAUAUUUUUUUUCAAAAGGCAGGCAGGCAGAAUCAUGGUGGUUUCAGUA
This is a long non-coding RNA of Gavialis gangeticus (Gharial), 1230 nucleotides long. RefSeq lists it as uncharacterized. The record is from RefSeq and is a predicted model, not a curated record. Lineage: Eukaryota; Metazoa; Chordata; Crocodylia; Gavialidae. The transcript is spliced from 2 exons.